GACGAACGCUGGCGGCGUGCUUAACACAUGCAAGUCGAGCGGUAAGGCCCUUUCGGGGUACGACGAGCGGCGAACGGGUGAGUAACACGUGGGUGACCUGCCUUUAGCUCUGGGAUAAGCCUGGGAAACUGGGUCUAAUACCGGAUACGACUCCGCGGUGCAUGCUGUGGGGUGGAAAGCCUUGUGCGGCUGGAGAUGGGCCCGCGGCCUAUCAGCUGUUGGUGGGGUGAUGGCCUACCAAGGCGACGACGGGUAGCCGGCCUGAGAGGGCGACCGGCCGACACUGGGACUGAGACACGGCCCAGACUCCUACGGGAGGCAGCAGUGGGGAAUCUUGCGCAAUGGGCGAAAGCCUAACGCAGCGACGCCGCGUGAGGAU
RNAcentral lists this ribosomal RNA (379 nucleotides) under uncultured bacterium. RNAcentral's name for it is "bacterial SSU rRNA". It matches the Rfam family "Bacterial small subunit ribosomal RNA", at positions 28 to 408 of the family's 1533-position model. The record is from RNAcentral.